This 162-nucleotide small nuclear RNA is filed under the name Myotis brandtii (Brandt's bat). RNAcentral describes it as "U1 spliceosomal RNA". It matches the Rfam family "U1 spliceosomal RNA". From Rfam's summary of the family: U1 is a small nuclear RNA (snRNA) component of the spliceosome (involved in pre-mRNA splicing). Its 5' end forms complementary base pairs with the 5' splice junction, thus defining the 5' donor site of an intron. The record is from Rfam by way of RNAcentral. Lineage: Eukaryota; Metazoa; Chordata; Mammalia; Chiroptera; Vespertilionidae.
UAACUUACCUGGCCAGGGAGAUGCCAUGAUUAUGAAGAUGGUUUUCCUAGGGGGAGGCUUAUCCAUUGCACUUGGAUGUGCUGACCCCUGCGACUUCCCCAAAUGUGGGAAACUUGAGUGCAUAAUUUGUGGUAGUGGGGGAUGUAUUUGUGCUCUCCUCUG